CCCUUAGAUGUUCUGGGCUGCACGCGCGCUACACUGGUGCGUUCAACGAGUUUAGCACCUUAACAGAUAUGUUUGGGUAAUCUUCUGAAAACGCACCGUGAUGGGGAUCGAUUAUUGUAAUUAUUAAUCGUCAACGAGGAAUUCCUAGUAAGUGUGAAUCAUCAGUUCGCGCUGAUUACGUCCCUGCCCUUUGUACACACCGCCCGUCGCUGCUACCGAUUGAGUGGUCCUGUGAAUUAUUCGGACCGGUGGACUGUGGGGAAACCCGCGGCCUGCUGGGAAGUCUUGUGAACCUUAUCACUUAGAGGAAGCAGAAGUCGUAACA
Molecule: ribosomal RNA, 325 nt
Filed under: uncultured eukaryote
Lineage: Eukaryota
Description: partial 18S ribosomal RNA
Rfam family: Eukaryotic small subunit ribosomal RNA
Source: RNAcentral